UGUAACAUGAAGAAGUUCCAGUGUGGAGAGAAAAGAAUCCUUAACCUUUGGUUUACCUUUCUAGGUCUUUCGAUCUCCCUUUAAUCCACUCGAUGGCUAGCUUUUCAAGAUAAAUGGAAACUUUAUUCAGUUUGUUUUUGCUUUUAAGUCCUUGGCCACUGGGAGAGUCCUUGAAGGGGAGAUAUCUUGUGAAAGAGGGAGGGAGCACUGAAAAUGCAUCCGCAUAACAGAUUCGUGGCUGUGCAGAUCCUGAAUGGAGUAGGGUGGGUGGGGUAAGCGGAGGGAGAGAACCCAGUGUUUUUCUAGGCAGUUAUUCAACCAAACCAGCUGAUUGGUCCGUUUUACAGAGAGCUGAUUGGUCCGUUUUGA
This 369-nucleotide long non-coding RNA is filed under the name Homo sapiens (human). RNAcentral's name for it is "non-protein coding lnc-C5orf67-5:1". Lineage: Eukaryota; Metazoa; Chordata; Mammalia; Primates; Hominidae. The record is from RNAcentral.